Molecule: long non-coding RNA, 2023 nt
Filed under: Bemisia tabaci
Lineage: Eukaryota; Metazoa; Arthropoda; Insecta; Hemiptera; Aleyrodidae
Description: lncRNA ENSASIAIIG009429
Source: RNAcentral
UCACAGAAGUUCAAGUCACAGAGUUUCCAAUGAUAUUUCCGACUUUAUAUAUAAUUUCUACGCAAUCAGCACUUGAAAUGAAGUGACCAUGUAACUUCAAAGUUCACAUUUGUUGCCACUAAUUACUGUGUCAUGUAAGUCGUGCUGUCAUGUCGCAAUUUCAAUGAACUUAUUCGUUUCUGUUCCUAAAGCUCCCCAAGAAGUUGGGCCUUGCCAAUCUCCUCUUUGACACAGAAAACAGGAGUUUCGAAAUUAUUUCACUUGGCAUGUCGGCCUCCUAUGGUGUAGUGGUUGUAGCGCUAACUCUAUGAUCGAGAGGUCCCGGGUUUGAUUCCCGGCCAGGCGACCCGAGUUUGAUGGUCUCAAAUAAUGGUCGCCGGGGACUGGCUUUAGGGAUGGAGGGGGGACGGGACUAAAGCGCAAGGAUUAGCCCUUGUGGGCUAUUUGAAAUAGUAAAAAAAAAGAUAGUUACAGUUUGCUCCUUUUUUCUCAUUUAUUGCCCAGAGACAUUGCCUAAAGUAACACAGUGUCAGGGCGACUGAGUGGUAUAAUUGAUACGUUUUGAAGGAUCGCAUAUUGCAUCUAUUAAACUGAUUAGGAGGAAGCAAGGUAAGCCAAUUAGAUGCAGGAGUUACACUUUUAUCUAUUUAUUUAUCCAAAUGCAUUUCGGCCCGUAGGCCAUCUUCAGUGGUACACAUAGGAUUAUAAAUUACAAGCGAGUACAUGCAGAUAGGAAUUAAAAUUUUUAUGGGUACUAACUUAUAUUUAGCGUAUAAUUGAGCCAAGGGCCCAGUUCAGUAAUGUCCAUUGUCCUGGUCUCUGAAUACUUAUCAAGAGACAUGCAAGGUUAUAGAUUAUUAUGAAGGCAUCUAAACUAACAAAUUCUUGAAUUUCAGGGUUUUCCUUUGUAAGCAGAAUAUCUCGUAAAAGAAGCAGGAAUGGAGUGGUGUCAGUUUUCACGAGACACUGGUUAGGCAGCUUUGUCUUUGGUGCCAUCGUUGCCACGUUAUUUUUCUAUGCUGUUUUUCUCAGCUAUAACUUGGAAUGGGCUUCAAAUAUUGACAGACACAGCAGAGAUGCUAGAUUGCAUGAGUUGGAAGAACAGCUGAAAGCUCUUCAAGAACAACUGGCACUACCAGAGCGCACUGCUUUGCCACUUUCAAAUGUUGCUUGCACUGGAAAACCCGUAUGUAUAACUUUUUUUGCUGCGAUUUGCAUUCUGUAAAGGAUGUUCAUGCAUGAUGAGCUGCCUCUCUUCUGUUGACAAGAUUCUUGUAUUCCUGAUUCUCUCCUUAAUUUUAUCUGCACUAGGGUUUAUUUACGGUCGAACUGUAAUUCAAUACACACUCAGCGAUUACAUAUGAUAUCUUAGCAAAAAUGAAAAACAAGUAGCAGGUACCAACACACUGUUACACGUUGUCAUAAAUAAAGAGUUGGACUAAAGUUGCUUAUUUCGGCACCAGUUGUUCUUUGAGUAGAAACAACAAACUACGCGGAAAAAUAAAAGGAACGAAAUUUUGAAGAUGAAAUUUAGAGUUGUAUUGACCGAAAGAGAGAGAAAGUUACAGAAUUACAAGAUUUAAAAUAGUCAUUAAAUGUGCCAAAAGGGCGAAAAAGGGCACUACGUACUAGUACGGGUCGAGGAUGGUAAAAGACCAAGAUUUUGGGGCAGCGCAAGCUUUUAUAGACUUGCUGACGUCACAGGUGGUGAGACAACAAGUCUACACGCUAUUGGCUGGCUAUAAUCAGUGGAGCUAUCAGUUGCAAGUCUGGUAAUUAAAGUAAUGGGUUAAUAUAGACGAUGUUUGAAAGAUAUGAGUAAAAAAGAGGAAAGUGGAUCGAAUCCAGCAUGUCCUAAUGAAUAUACAGAAAGUUAGGUAAAAUAUUGAAAAUACUAAGAGAAAAUACGAGUUGGUGUUGACACACGUGCUUGCUCCCAUUUUUUUCAACCAUAUAAUAAAUGUGUAACAAGGGGUGGUAGAACCGGGCAGAAAUGAAAAAUCCCAUGAAAAUUUGCAUGAAA